Molecule: ribosomal RNA, 468 nt
Filed under: uncultured bacterium
Lineage: Bacteria
Description: partial 16S ribosomal RNA
Rfam family: Bacterial small subunit ribosomal RNA
Source: RNAcentral
GACGAACGCUGGCGGCGUGCUUAACACAUGCAAGUCGAACGGAAAGGCCCUGCUUUUGUGGGGUGCUCGAGUGGCGAACGGGUGAGUAACACGUGAGUAACCUGCCCUUGACUUUGGGAUAACUUCAGGAAACUGGGGCUAAUACCGGAUAGGAGCUCCUGCUGCAUGGUGGGGGUUGGAAAGUUUCGGCGGUUGGGGAUGGACUCGCGGCUUAUCAGCUUGUUGGUGGGGUAGUGGCUUACCAAGGCUUUGACGGGUAGCCGGCCUGAGAGGGUGACCGGCCGCAUUGGGACUGAUGUACGCCGCAGACGCCGGGGGGAGGAAGGGGGGGGAAAUUGUGAGCAGGGGCGGGAGGCUGUGGACGGAAGCCCCGGGGGCGGAAUGGGGCCUUAGGGUGGAAAACCCGCUUUCGCUGGUAAGGAGGGGGGAGGGAGGGUAAGGAAUAAAAAAGCCCCGGCUAACUACGUG